This is a long non-coding RNA of Vollenhovia emeryi, 261 nucleotides long. RefSeq lists it as uncharacterized. The transcript has 2 exons. NCBI's taxonomy places the organism in Eukaryota, Metazoa, Arthropoda, Insecta, Hymenoptera, Formicidae. The record is from RefSeq and is a predicted model, not a curated record.
UUCCAGUAAUUGAUAUUUAACUAUUCUUGGACUACCCACCACGCAACUGGCUUGUUCGCUAUACGACAUUAUUAAAAGGAACCGCUUGCCACAGGGCAGACAAUGAUGCUAUUAUUCUAGGCAAAUGGCUUAAUGCUGUUCUUCUGGCGUGUUGCUGCAGCUCGUUCGCGCCAGUUUUAUCCUUCGCCGUGCACAAAUCCUACGGAGAACAAAAACCUUGCCAUUCUGUACUGAAUAAAUCAAAUAUCGAUUGCAUGUACC